Lutra lutra (Eurasian river otter) is the source of this 580-nucleotide long non-coding RNA. RefSeq lists it as uncharacterized. Lineage: Eukaryota; Metazoa; Chordata; Mammalia; Carnivora; Mustelidae. The record is from RefSeq and is a predicted model, not a curated record. The transcript is spliced from 3 exons.
UAUGAACAAGAAAUAAACUUGUGUGGUGUAAAGGCAUUGAUUUCUGAACUUUGUUUCUUACACAGCAAAGCUUCGUGGAUUAUGACUAAUAUACUCCCAUUUUUUUCAGGUAAGAAAACUGAGCCUCAGAGAGGGGAGGUGACACACUUAAAGUCAUUGGAGCUACAGUGAGAGCUGGGAUUCCGCCCCUGGUGGUCUCAUGGGGUCAUGCGGACGAAGACUCACAUUAUGAAUUGCCUCCCUGGAGAAACCAACCCCUCCUUCCCCAAAGAAGGCCUUGAUCCAAUAAACCAACUUUUAACGGAACAGCAUCUUUCAAUCGAAGGAUGAUGGCAACUUAUCUCUGGGUCCUAGCUCUGUGGUGACAUGAAUUCUCUGAGCUCCCCAAUCUCACUCAAGGGGAAUGUCCUGAAGCCCAGAGAGGAAGACUGAUUCACGGAAGGCCACCCAGCAAGUCUGGUUGCUUCAUACCAAGCAGAACAACUCCCCUCUUAGCCAUGAUCAGAAGGAGACUUGGCAUCAGCAAGGACCCUUCCCCAAAGAUUCUGGCUCUUUCUGCUGCUGAAAUCGGAGAGAUGAA